UGGAGAGUGCUUCCCUCCGCAGCACACCGUUGGACCUUGCUUCGUCACAGUCAUUAAGAGCUGAAGAGAGGAGAGGCCCAGAGAGGUUAAAAGAGAUGCCAACUAGAGGGAGUGACGUUCCUGUCCCGAUUGGCCCAGGAGCAGGGGUGGCCUGGGAGCCUCCAGGUGGGACGUUCCAGAGAGGCAGCUGGGAGCGGCGGGGAACAGAGCCUCAGCUAUUGUGUUUGGAAUAUUCACUGCACUUGACGUUUCUGAGUUGGGACAACCCCUGCCUGCUCCCUUCCUCCAGGAAUCAGCCUUUGUGGACCUGUCCACAGGAUCUGUGAAUAGAAAUUCACUGUUGGUAGUAGAAUCGCCCAUCAGCUAUCACCUUCCAUUGUGAACAUCAAAACCGACACAUCCGGUCAGUGAGUUUUUCUGUGCCUCUAAACAUAAACAAUCAUGUAAAUCCAAGC
Non-coding RNA from Leptonychotes weddellii (Weddell seal), 455 nucleotides. Lineage: Eukaryota; Metazoa; Chordata; Mammalia; Carnivora; Phocidae. The record is from RefSeq and is a predicted model, not a curated record.